This 300-nucleotide unclassified non-coding RNA is filed under the name uncultured Pleosporales. RNAcentral's name for it is "sequence contains 5.8S rRNA gene, ITS2". The stretch from base 1 to 90 matches the Rfam family "5.8S ribosomal RNA", at positions 58 to 154 of the family's 154-position model. Lineage: Eukaryota; Fungi; Ascomycota; Dothideomycetes; Pleosporales. The record is from RNAcentral.
AGAUGUGUAUAAGAGACAGGUGAGUCAUCGAAUCUUUGAACGCACAUUGCGCCCCUUGGUAUUCCAUGGGGCAUGCCUGUUCGAGCGUCAUUUGUACUCUCAAGCCUUGCUUGGUGUUGGGUGUUUGUCUAUGCUUAGCCUAGACUCGCCUUAAAUAUAUUGGCAGCCGGUAUACUGGCUUGAAGCGCAGCACAAUUGCAAUUCAGGUUGGCUUAUUAGCAUCCAUAAAGAUCAUCAACACUUUUGACCUCGGAUCAGGUAGGGAUACCCGCUGAACUUAAGCAUAUCAAUAAGCGGAGG